RNAcentral lists this ribosomal RNA (328 nucleotides) under uncultured eukaryote. RNAcentral's name for it is "partial 18S ribosomal RNA". It matches the Rfam family "Eukaryotic small subunit ribosomal RNA", at positions 1470 to 1796 of the family's 1831-position model. The record is from RNAcentral.
CCCUUAGAUGUCCGGGGCUGCACGCGCGCUACACUGAAGGAAUCAGCGUGCUAAGACCAUUGUCGAAAGGCAUUGGUAAACCCAUUAAAAUCCUACGUGAUUGGGAUCGGGAAUUGCAAUUAUUUCCCUUGAACGAGGAAUUCCCAGUAAGUGUGGGUCAUAAGCUCGCGUUGAUUACGUCCCUGCCCUUUGUACACACCGCCCGUCGCUGCCCGGGACUGAGCCGUUUCGAGAAAAGCGGGGACUGCUGCUGUCGGGGCUUUCGGGCCUUGGCUUCGGUGGAAACCGCUUUAAUCGCAGUGGCUUGAACCGGGCAAAAGUCGUAACA